GGAUUAGAUACCCUGGUAGUCCACGCAGUAAACGAUGUACACUAGGUGUGGCGGAUAUUAAAAUCUGCUGUGCCCAAGCUAACGCAUUAAGUGUACCGCCUGGGGAGUACGGUCGCAAGACUAAAACUCAAAGGAAUUGACGGGGGCCCGCACAAGCGGUGGAGCAUGUGGUUUAAUUCGACGCAACGCGAAGAACCUUACCUGGGUUUGACAUCCUGUGAAUGUUUAAGAGAUUAGACAGUGCCUUCGGGAGCACAGAGACAGGUGCUGCAUGGCUGUCGUCAGCUCGUGCCG
This 294-nucleotide ribosomal RNA is filed under the name uncultured bacterium. Its description in RNAcentral is "partial 16S ribosomal RNA". It matches the Rfam family "Bacterial small subunit ribosomal RNA", at positions 775 to 1067 of the family's 1533-position model. The record is from RNAcentral.